RNAcentral lists this long non-coding RNA (4487 nucleotides) under Mus musculus (house mouse). RNAcentral's name for it is "long non-coding RNA chr17:47527967-47532454". Lineage: Eukaryota; Metazoa; Chordata; Mammalia; Rodentia; Muridae. The record is from RNAcentral.
UUUUUUUUUUUUUUUUGUGACAGAAUCUCACCAUAUAGCUAGCUAUAGCUAGCUUAAGAGCUUGUUAUGUAGACCAGACUGGCCUGGCACUCACAGUGAUGCCCCUGCCUCUGCACCUUUGUCCCUGUGCUCCUAUGCCUCCCACAUGCUGGGGUUAAAGGUGUAUGCCAGGCCUGCUUAUGUUGUUUAAAAAGGUUCUUCUUCGUGGGUGGAGGUGCAGCUUAGCUGGGAGAGUGCUAGGCAGGUGCUCUGUGUUGAGCUUUUUCUCUGGGCCCCAAGUGCAUUCUCCGUGCGUGUUGUGUAUGUGUGUGUGUGCACAACAGUGUGCGUGUGUGGAGGCCAGAGACUGGUGUUGGGGUCGAUCUCUGCCAUUCUCCAUCUUAUCGAUUGAUUGAUUAAUUGAUUGAUUGUAAGGAUCUCUCAAUGAUCAUGGAGCUUACCAUUUUGGCUAAGCUGGCUAAGCAGCAAGCCCCUUGGCAUCAGCCUGUUCCCAGCCCUGCCUCGUGCUGGGGUUGAAGCACUGCUGCACCUAGCUUCUUUCACCUUGGUGCUGGGAAUUGGAACUCAGUUCCCCACUUUACCCAAUGAGCUGAUUUCCCUUCUCCCCAUAAAUUACUUUCCCCCACCCCCUGAACUCAUUAUGUAGACCAGGCUGGCCUCCAUUUUUCAGAUCCACUUGCCUUUGCCUCCUGAGUGCUGGUAUUAAAGGCACACACCGCCAUGGUGACUCACAGUGAAUUCUUUCUGUGUUCCUUUGCCUCAGUGCCCUGAUCUGUAAAAUGGGAACUGUCACAACAGUACUUAGCUACAGAGCCAUCAGGAGAAUUACAUGCACUUUGAGGAGGCUGAACAGGGCUGGGCCUGGCCCAUAGCAACUGUUACAUAAGUAUUAGGUUAUUGUUACAGAACACAUGUUUGCCAUUAUGAUGAUGUGGACAAAAGGUUUAGGCUCAGUGCUGGUUUAUAAACCCGGGGAUCCAGGAUGAAUCAAUCAAUAAGAUCCUCAGAUUCAGGCCAAAUCAAUCGAUAAAAUCCACAGACUCACAUGACCAAUCCUUACAGUUAGAAUGGCCCUGGAAUAGAGGCACAGGGCAUUGUGCUGGCUUUUGUUCCAGUGUCUCAGGACGGUCAGCCCUCCCUCAGGGCUUGUAGUGCUCAUGGCCUGCGCACGGUCACGUGAACACUGCACUGUUGACUGCUGAAUCUCGCUCCUGGGGAGCACACAGGGCUGGGUUCCUGUGAGCCUCUGCUCAGAGCAUCUUUAUCAAGUGAUCAAUGCAUACCCUUGUUCUUUGUGUGUUUUUGCUUGUUUAAAAUGUAUUGUGGACUCGUUAGUAAUGAACUCAUGGCCAGUAGUUGUAUAAUCUCCAGAAAAAAGCUAAUUUAUUUUUUUCUGUAAGGCACAUGCUGACAGCUAGGAAUGGAUGAGAUAGGAGGUCAGGUUAAAAACAACAACAACAAAAAAAAAACAAAACAAAACAAAACAAAAAAAACAACCCAAAUCACUUGCUACACAAAUUUGAUGGUGUUCAGUUAAUCCUUAGCAAGGACAGAACCUCUCCCCAAAACACACCCAUGCAUGCAUGAUCAGCAUGCAUGUGCAUGCACACACUUGCACACACUCCUGCACAGAUACGUGCACAUUCAAACACAUGAACAGGAUACACGUUCCUGUACUCACACACCUACACUACACACAUACACACACACAAUAAUAAUAAAUAACAUUUUACGAUUUAUUUUAUGUGUAUGAGCAUUUUGCCUGUAUGUGCCUGCCUGGUGCCCCUAGAGGUUAAGAGAGGGUGUCAGAUCCCUUGCACCUGGAGUUUGCUUCUGAGCCACUAUGUGCGUGCUGGGGACUGAACAGGGUCCCCGGCAAGAGCAGCAAGUGUUCUUAACCACUGAACCAUCUCUCCAGCCAUCAUUAUCAUUUUGCACGUGUGUGUGUGUGUGUGUGUGUGUGUGUGUGCACGCGCGUGUUCGCAUGCUCACACACGCCUAUGUGUAUGGGUGUCAUCAGAGGCCAGAAGAGAGCAUCGGAUCCCCUGGAACUGUAGUGACAGGUGGUUAUGAGCCGAAUGGUAUUGCUGCUAAGAGCUGAGCUCAGGUUCUCCCCAUGAACAAUAAGCUGCUAUCACCUAAGAGCCAUCUCCGCAUCCCUAUUUUAUUGUAUCUUGCUUUCCUUUUCCUGCUUGGUUUUUUGUUUUAGCUUUUGUUUUUGUUUUUUAGUUAUUAUUUCUUUAAAGCUUGUUUAGUUGUUUGAGAUAGUACCUGACUAUGUAGCUUUUGUUGGCCUGGAACUUGCAAUGUAGAGCAGACUGGCCUAGAACUCACAGAGAUCCCCCUGCUUCUGCCUCCCAAGUGCUGGGAUUGAAGGCAUGGGCUACCACUGUCCGGCUUGGGUGUCAUUUUUAUUUAGUUUUAUUUUUUGCUUAUUUCUUUUUUAACCGUAAAAUUACACAUUUCCCAAGUGCAGAAAAUAAGGAGCCACCAGACUCCAGCAGAAUGAAUGGUUCUAGUGCCGGAGCUGAAACAAGCAAGCAGCAUCUCCUUCUGCAGCCUCAGCUGGGGACAUGCAUGCUUGCAUCUCAGCUGGGGACAUGCAUGCUUGCAUGGACUUGGGUUCUUUUGGAAAUUCUGCACAUGUUUGCAAAAGACUACACAAUGCCGGAAGUAUCAAUUAGGGAGUUGUGGGCACAGCUUGGUGGGUAGAUGAACUUAUAAAUGCAUCUGCAGUCCUCAAAUAAAGAUGAAUAGUAACCCAGAGGCGUGGUAGUGCGCUCUUCAAACCCAGUGCUCAGAAGGUGCAAACAAAAGGACCGGGAGUCCAAGGCUAGCCUUGACUAGAAGGGGCCAUGUCUCAAAGAACAACAACCAAGAGCUGCUUAUGGAGGUCAGUCUGUGUUCUCAGGGGGACAGCAUCAGUCUAAGUUGGCGGUUGUUGUUGGCUGAGCAUGCACAAAUCCCUAACAGCACAUAAAGCAAGUUGUGUCACACACUCACAAUGCCCAGAUUCACUGGAUCUCGGUAGUGAGCUGAGGCUAGCCUGGGCUACAUAGACCCUGUCUCAGGAAAAAAAAAAAAAGAGGGUGUGGUGGCCUACACCUUUAAUUCCAGCCCUUGGGGAGACAGAAGGAAGCAUUAGGUUCUGUAAGUUUGGGGUCAGCCUGGUCUACAUAGUUAAUUCCAGGCCAACCAGGGCUAUACAGUGAGAGACUCUGUCCCCCAAACAAGACAGACCAUUAAUAAAUCAACUGUAGAUCCACAUGGGUGUCUGUCCCCCUGCUUCCUCGAGGUGUACUUAUGCCCUGGUCCUGUUUCCCACUGCCCAGGUUUAGCAAUGGGAAGACUGAUUGCCCUACCCAGUAGGGGGCUCCUACAUCUCUAACGGUGCCCAUACAUGCCAUUUGGCAAGUCUUUGCCUAGCUCCCCCAGUACGGUUAAGGAUGUCUGCAGCUGCCAUUGUCUGUAGGGAGGAGGGGUGAAGUAGCCCUGCCCUACCUCCUCCCCGUCCCCGCCUCCCCACUGCACCCAGGCCCUCUCCAUGGUGAACCAGACCUACUUAUGCAUAAAGAGGCAAGGAUGACUACAGCCCACAGCCACCUGUGACUUCCCUAGGCCAAGUGCUUCACCAACACCUGGGGAAGACCCUUGGCGGUUUGGGGGAGUCUGUUUGGGUUUGAUCUUUAUUUACCCCUCAGAGGAAGUAAAUAAAUAGCUCUUCAUGUGUCGGGGUGGAUGCGAGGAUGCCAGACUGUGUGCCUGCUGCACACCGUUAACAGCCGUGACCCAGCCCUAGAGGAAGUGGUAACGAAAGGAUUGCUUGCUUUCUUUUCCAUUCACCCUUACGGCUCCUUCCCGCCUCCACCUUUCUGUAUGAGCCAAGCGGCUUUUCUCUGUCAGCCUGGGAACCGAUUGUUAGUCUGUUGUGAGGUGGGGAGAACAGCGACUUUGCCCUGACUUGAAUUAGAACCCCGAGGUGUGCACUAACAAGAUGGCAGCCAGCUGCAAAGACGCUCCAGCCCUGUGGGACUCUGAGUCUCAACUGUGGAAGUCAAAUCGCAUCCACAGGACUUUUGUGGCCAUUAAACAGAAUAGAUGGUGAUUUGCGUACAUCCGCACUUGGUCCCUUUAACGUGGCAGUGGGCAGACCAUUGAAGCCUAAUGAUCUGAGAUCAAUCUCUAUAACCACCUAGAGUGGAAGGAGAGAACCCACCCCACAGAGCUGACCUUUGACCUCUCUGUGAGCACCACGACGUGUACUCCAUGGUGCACGUGUGUAUACACAAAAUAAUAAAAGAAACGUUGUGUUGUUUUUCCCUUAAAGAUAGCAGUAGGGCCAGAAGUGAUGGCACACACUUGCCAUCUCAGCACGUGGGAGGCAGAGGCAGGAGGACAGCUGUGAGUGCAAGACUAGCUUGUAGUAGUUCCAGGAUAGCCAGAGCUACAUUCCAAGACUUCAUCUCCAAAAAACAACUAGAGAAAGG